AGUGAACGCUGGCGGUAGGCCUAACACAUGCAAGUCGAACGGCAGCACAGUAAGAGCUUGCUCUUACGGGUGGCGAGUGGCGGACGGGUGAGGAAUACAUCGGAAUCUACUUUUUCGUGGGGGAUAACGUAGGGAAACUUACGCUAAUACCGCAUACGACCUACGGGUGAAAGCAGGGGAUCUUCGGACCUUGCGCGAUUGAAUGAGCCGAUGUCGGAUUAGCUAGUUGGCGGGGUAAAGGCCCACCAAGGCGACGAUCCGCAGCUGGUCUGAGAGGAUGAUCAGCCACACUGGAACUGAGACACGGUCCAGACUCCUACGGGAGGCAGCAGUGGGGAAUAUUGGACAAUGGGCGCAAGCCUGAUCCAGCCAUACCGCGUGGGUGAAGAAGGCCUUCGGGUUGUAAAGCCCUUUUGUUGGGAAAGAAAAGCAGCAGGUUAAUACCCCGCUGUUCUGACGGUACCCAAAGAAUAAGUACCGGCUAACUUCGUG
RNAcentral lists this ribosomal RNA (492 nucleotides) under uncultured bacterium. RNAcentral describes it as "partial 16S ribosomal RNA". It matches the Rfam family "Bacterial small subunit ribosomal RNA", at positions 29 to 507 of the family's 1533-position model. The record is from RNAcentral.